Molecule: long non-coding RNA, 1125 nt
Organism: Thalassophryne amazonica
Lineage: Eukaryota; Metazoa; Chordata; Actinopteri; Batrachoidiformes; Batrachoididae
Exons: 2
Source: RefSeq, a predicted model, not a curated record
UCCAAACCAACAAAAUUAAUGCCUCGCAGAUGUGAAGAAAUCAUGAAAAACUGUGGUUAUACAACUAAAUACUAGUUUAGUGAUUCACAGGAUUGCUAAAAAAGCAGUUUGAACAUAAAAUUAUUAUGUUCGAACUGCUGAGUUUAUAGCGUCAACAGCAGAUGCUAUUAUUGUGAACACCCCCUUUUCUACUUUUUUUACUAAUAGCCCAGUUUCAUAGCCUUAAGAGCGUACAUAUCAUGAAUGCUUGGUCUUGUUGGAUUUGUGAGAAUCUACUGAAUCUACUGGUACCUUGUUUCCCAUGUAACAAUAAGAAAUAUACUCAAAACCUGGAUUAAUCUUUUUAGUCACAUAGCACUACUAUUAUUCUGAACACUACUGUAAAGCAGUAAUGGACAUUGCACUUUGGGAAACUUAGCUAAGUUGCCGCCAUCAUGCUUCACCUGAAAGUUGUAGCUUUACAAGAAAGCUGAUUCAGAAUGGAAAGACCCAUGAACUUAAAGAAUACAGCACGCAUUCUGAAAAAAAACUUUGACAUUAGGUGACGAGAUAUUUCUGUCUGCUUAAAUGUCACAGAGAAAUGGACAAACAAUAACACACUAUUGUUAUCAGUGCUGACUCACAAGCACCGGUGGAUUUCAACGGCUCUUUUAAUUGGCAACUACAGGAGUGAUGUCAUCUUUCCAGCCUAUUGCAUUGCAUCACUGGAAAUUCGUAUCGGACUGUGUCUAGAUAGAAGAAUGUUGUACUAAAUCAUUCAGCCAGUGUCUGCAAGUCUGAUGCUAUAAUCAACGAGGUUUUGUACACGUACAGUCUAACACUAUUUAGUAGUUGUGAUUUCCACAGUAAUGAGCAACUGGGGCUAUUUAAGAUAUGUAUUACAUGCUGCAUAUGGAAAACUAAUUUGUCUCUUUCUGAAAUAUCCAAACACUACAGAAUGUUUGUUUUGUAAUUGUGUGAAACAGACUGCACAGGUCCAAAACAGUUAUUGUGGGUAUGUUUAAUUUGUUGUAUGUUAAAGUAGAAUCCCCCCCCCCCCCCAACCGAGGCCCAGUUUGUAGAUAUUUUGGGUGGGGGGGGUCAUCUUUUCACUCAGGAGAACUCUGUGGAUUAUUUUGUUUUGAA